Long non-coding RNA from Sapajus apella (tufted capuchin), 2938 nucleotides. RefSeq lists it as uncharacterized. The transcript is spliced from 3 exons. The record is from RefSeq and is a predicted model, not a curated record. Lineage: Eukaryota; Metazoa; Chordata; Mammalia; Primates; Cebidae.
UGAGGGUCUGUCUCAAAAAAAAAAAAAAAAAAAAAAGAACAGAUAGUUUAUACCAUUACACCUUUACCCUAUGUAAGAUUCUUACCAAUUCUGAUGUGUGACAAGGUAUGAAAAUUCAAUGGUAAAUGAUAACUUUCCAGUUUGUAUCUUUUGAACCUUGGAAUUCUAUUUCUUACACUAAUUAGUUGUGUGACUUUAGAAAAUGUAUUUCAUUUUUCUGGGCCUCAGUUUCAUCAUCUGCAAAAUGGUCCCCACUAAACCUACCUCUGAAAGGUGUGAAAAAAAUCAAAGAGCUAAGGUAGGUUAGCACCCAGCACAUAAUAAGUAUUCAACAAAUGGUCUUGCUCUUUUGACAUCAUGGUUAUUUAACGUCUGUUCAUAGAUAAGAUUUUAUCAAUUCUCAAUGAAAGCAACAAAGGAAGGUUCAUAUUUUUCCAUUUUGUUACCAAAAAUACUAUUAGAUUUUAAAGAAAACAGAGCACAUCUUUCACCACAUGAGAAUAAGAAAUCCACUCUUUUUUGGCAAGCAAAAAAAAAAAAAAAAAAGCCAUAAACACAACUGACAUUAAUUCUCUGUGCAUAUUGCAUCUUGCCUCCCUGUUUUACAGUUUUCAGAAACCAAGCGUCCAUCUGUCUCUAGAGACCUAUUCUAGGUUCUAGAAAAGAAAACACCCUCUAGAUCUGGUAGCGCUUUUGAUUUGGCUGACUUAAGGCCCCUAGCGUGAUUCCUCCUGCUGGUGCGUGCGUGAGGCCAGGAUGCUGAUUUAUGGCUGCUUCUGCUCUGCCGGUUAACCCCGUCACAGGUCACUCUGCUCUGUUAAUUACAUCCUAACCUUCCUCGGCUCUUCUGCAGUGAAAUCGCAGCAGAGGGGACAGUGCAGCUUGGUGCGCAUUGCUCAUUUGUGCCCACGUGGGAAGAACUGCCAGGAUGCCCAGGACACCAACUCCCUGGCUUCUGCAGUCCUGAAUCAGCACGAGAGCUGUGGGUCUGCGUCCCCUGGCUGCAUGGCUGACUGUGUCUCUGUGGAGGGACCUUUGCUGGAGAACACUCACAUGUUAACUUGUUUCUUCAGUCUAGGCCUUUUUUGGCCCCGUUGGUUAUUCAUUCUGGAUGAUACACCUCUUAUUUCAGUUCAGAUGUUUCACGGAAGAGGCAUUGAAGAAAGAGUGGAUGCCCAUGUUUGUUGGCAGUAGGUAGCAUUUACUACUCCGGCUGUAGUAAAAGAAAAAAAGGAGAAAUUACAUAGAUUCUCCAUCUUUAAGGAAAAAGCAAUUAAAUCACCAAAGUCAGAUUCUCAAGUAAUUGCUGGGCCUUCGGAGGCGCGGGCGAGGUGAAGUGUGAGGCCCCAGGUCUCUGUCUUGUGUAGGGCUGGCAUUGCCUGCUGGGGACUCCGAGCAGAGGCUGUGCCAGGGAAGGCAGUGUGCAGGGAGAAACCCAGAGCCUCUUGCCAGCCUCCCCUCCCAGCUGCCAUCCAUGCACUUGUCCCAGCUUCCUGGCUGUCCUGAGGCCAGGCAAGAAGGAGCAGGGCUCCAGCUACAGAAGUUAUAGGAGGUGGCUCUCAGAGCCUUGAUUUCCUCCACUGGAAAUACUGAGAACAGUAUCCUCCAGGCCUACUUUCCAAAAGCCGUUAUGAAGAUUACCUAGACUCAUACCUGUGAAGGCUGGUGAAAGAAUAAAGCAACCUAAACACACAAGGUGUUAAAAAUAUCCCUUCCAACUAAAUAACAGAUCAGUUUGUAUCCCAGGCUUGCCCGACAGAGGCAGUCACAGUGGAGGGGUGGGGGCCCUGGGCCUUACCAGGUGACCUCCCAUCAGUCAGGAAGACGAUGACAUGUGGCAAUGCCCAGCACCACCUGGCUAGGAUCACUUCUCGUGCCUUCCUUUCUCAUUCUCCAGCCUGGGUCGGUAGCACAAUCCAAAGAGCCAGCAGGCGGUCUCUCCCGGUCCACGGAGGCAGAGGAGCUGUCUGAACGUGCACAGCGGCCCCUGACAACCCGGCCCCGUAUCAAGAGCUGCCCUGCACCCGGUGAUCUCUGCAAAUCACUGCUCACCCAGAAGGAAAACCAAUUUACAUUGGGAUGAUCUUCAGGAAGAUUCCUGCUAGUUUAUCUCAGAAGAACAGCAGCCUGUACAUGAGCCUGUUCCCCUUGAGAAUUUCCUCUUCCUUCGGCAGUAUCUUGAAAUGGCCACAUUUUCCAUACCUAUGACUUCCUAUCAGCUUUUCAAAUGCUCCACUACAAACUAAGGUUAUUCUAGCAUUGACAAUGUGAUCUCAGGAUUUCCACAACUAGCUUUCCUCAAGAUGAAUAUUGGGAUGAGUUCGGCAGCAGGCUAUGUGAUAAGGAGCGCCGGCAUGGGAGUCAGAAAGUGUUGUGAACCCUAUAGAAAUGACAUCACCUGUCUCAACCUCAUUGUCAUCAGCUGUAAGUGAGAGAGUGAAUGAAGAAUGCUUCCAGCUGUUAAAUCCUGUAAGUCAAGAGAACCUGUGCUCCAGAGGAGAACGUGUAUAUUGGCAAAAAGUUUCUGCUGCACUGUGAACCCAGGAAGUGUGAACACAUCCCAGUGGGCAGACAGCUGGCUGCCUACCAAAUCUAUCUUCCCAUUCUUUCAACGGAAUGGUCUAGCCCAAUAUGUGACCUCUCAGUUGGAGACUAUGUUUCAAGAGUCCCUUGCUGGCGAGUGUCUGAGCCCCUUCCAGUGGAAUGUGAGCAGAAGGGAUAGGAGACGUUUCUAGGCCCAGCGUCUGACACAACCUUCCCUGUGGUUGCUGCUGAACUGCAGAGCAGCUGAGGACCAACCGGCUUUGAGCAUGCAGAUGCAGGACUACUGAAUGAGAGAUGAAAAAACUGCUUUGUCCUUGAAAUGAACUCUUCCUCUAAAAUCGUAUGUAAACCUUGGGGCUCAUGCAUAAGAAUUAAAGAGAAAGAAGAAAAGAAA